This 432-nucleotide ribosomal RNA is filed under the name uncultured bacterium. RNAcentral's name for it is "partial 16S ribosomal RNA". It matches the Rfam family "Bacterial small subunit ribosomal RNA", at positions 29 to 507 of the family's 1533-position model. The record is from RNAcentral.
AACGAACGCUGGCGGCAUGCCUAACACAUGCAAGUCGAACGAGACCUUCGGGUCUAGUGGCGCACGGGUGCGUAACGCGUGGGAACCUGCCCUUAGGUUCGGAAUAACUCCCCGAAAGGGGUGCUAAUACCGGAUAAUGUCUUCGGACCAAAGAUUUAUCGCCUUUGGAUGGGCCCGCGUUGGAUUAGCUAGUUGGUAGGGUAAAGCCUACCAAGGCGACGAUGCAUAGCUGGUCUGAGAGGAUGAUCAGCCACACUGGGACUGAGACACGGCCCAGACUCCUACGGGAGGGAGCAGUGGGGAAUAUUGGACAAUGGGCGAAAGCCUGAUCCAGCAAUGCCGCGUGAGUGAUGAAGGCCUUAGGGUUGUAAAGCUCUUUUACCCGGGAUGAUAAUGACAGUACCGGGAGAAUAAGCUCCGGCUAACUCCGUG